RNAcentral lists this long non-coding RNA (3379 nucleotides) under Homo sapiens (human). Its description in RNAcentral is "long intergenic non-protein coding RNA 2798". The record is from RNAcentral. Lineage: Eukaryota; Metazoa; Chordata; Mammalia; Primates; Hominidae.
GCGGCCACGGAGGGUGGCACAGGGGCUGCGGCCAGCCGGGCGCUGCAGCAGUGCGGGCAGCUCCAGAAGCUCAUCGUCAUCUUCAUUGGCAGCCUGUGCGGGCUGUGCACCAAGUGCGCUGUGUCUAACGACCUCACCCAGCAGGAGAUACAGACCCUGGAGGUGAGGAAACCGAAGGCCCGAGGGAGAAAUGACUUGCCAGGAACCCCUGUUAAGGAAAAUUAACAAAGUGUGGUUAUUAAAGAAGAACUGAGUUGGGAGUCAGACCUGGAGGCCCGCACCCGCGGUUAAGACAUUAUACCACCUUGAGUCUGGCCUGUUGACUGAGGCUAGGUGAUGAUAUUCUGAUCUAUGAGAUGCAAGAAGAUGUGAUGUGUGGGACAUCCAUGAAAACUGAUUAAUGAGACCUGACACAAAUUAGAGAUCAAGCCCACUACGACCACCACCAUUUUUCUCUUCUAUCCUAUUUUUUUGUGACCUCUAGCAUGACCAUGAUGCCAAGAUCUCUAGCAGCCACAUAGUGACCUGAGGUAAAUCUGAGUAUGAAAAUCAUGUGCCAGGAUGGUGUAGAAAGAGGGUUUUGGAUCCUAUUGACAAUGGAAAGUUGGUCUUCCUACCUCUGAACCUCUUUAUGUAAGAGAAGUAACCUGAGUUUUAAAAGCCAUUAUUAUUUCCAUUUUCUCUGCUGAUGCAGACAAACACAAGUCCUAAUUUUAUAGAGACCUAAUACGUUCUGGACCUCAGAAAGAGAUUCCUGGAGGAAAUGUUGUUUUCAACCACUAACUCUGCUAAUUUCAGGCCAAGUGAGGCAUUAUAUAGACAGUCUGACCACUGCCACAGUUGCAUACGUUCUAAAUUUGAAAUAAAUCCCUUACUCUGUAUCACUUAUAGUGGAUCUGCUUCUCUGAUAAAACCCUCACUAAGACAAUUAUCAUCCACUGUUUGUUUUUCCUGUGGUAAGUAUAUCAUUGCUGUAUAAAAAUAACCUUUUAAUUAUUAACUCAGUUGGCCCAGUUUAGCAUCUUUUCCAUCUUCCAUUCUCAAUUUGAUAAUUACCAUCUUUCAUAAUAAUUAUCCUUCAGGUUUCACAAUACAUGUAUGUUGAAUGUUAAGGCUAUUCUUCAUUGAUAUUUACACUUUGACUCCAUGGUGAGAGAAGCUGCAGUAUCUGAGAAAUAAAUAAUUUGUAUGUGGGAGGUGUGAUUUUACAGCUAGAUUAUAGCUCAGUUUCUAGUUCUUUCUUUUAGAGAGAUUUCUCUUGGUCAUCUUUAUAGAGGUAUGAAGAUAUUUAGUUUUACUGUUAUUAUAUUAACAUUUUAAAAAGCAGCUUUCUACAAGGUAUGGCAUCAGGUGGAAUUAUUCUUGCUGUGCUCUCAAAUAAUCUCCAUGCUAAGUUUUUGGGCCUCACUGCAGCCCCUGAACACGUAUGUCUCUCUGUACCUCCUCUGUAUGAUGUAGUGAAUUUUUUGGACCUUUGAAUCACACACAGGCUUUCUUGGCUGUUUUAUACCAAAGGACUUUCACUAAAUUCCUAAGAAAAAUUUAGCACAGCCGAUGCUGUUUUCCAAUGCCAACCUUGGAGUUUGCAAUUUGCCCAGACAAAAAUACCAUAGCUGAUGGUGAUGAUGAUGUCAAUAUUUUUUUAAAAUACAAUUUAAAAAAUGGUUCAACAUAAAUUAUCUCAUUUAGUCCCCUGAACAACCUUGUGAUGUGAUUUUGAACAGGAAUAUCAAGACCUCAGGAUCUGGCAUCAAAUUCUGGGGUUUGAAUAUUAUUUCUAUCACAAACUAUUUAUAUUACUGCUUAUAUGUAAGUGACAACCUUUCUAUUCCUUAUUUUUUCCACUUGUAAAAUCAGAAAAAUGACAAUGAUGAGAGCACCAAACUUAUGAGCUUGCGAAGAUUAAAUGUGUGUAUGGGUUUUUAUCAGUUUGAGAGACAUUAUAUUUCCAUUUGUUGUCAUUCUGUCCCUUCCAUCAGGGUAGGACCUUUCUUCAGUGCAUUACUUUGUCCCCUGAACCUAGAAUGGUACCUGGAAUAUCAUUGGUGCCCAAUAAGUACUUGCUGAAUAAAUGACUGAAUAAAUAAAUGUAAUCUGUCAAUAUUUUCAUCUGAAGAUAUGAUAUCUGUUUUUUACCUUAUUUUUUCAAUCAUCCGAAAGGUAGUAUGCACAUUUGAAAGGUAGUCAUUGUUAUUUUCUUACACCAGUACUUGCACUUUUACAAUAUGUAGCAAUAAUCAUAAGCAAAGUAUCAUGACAGAGUGAGAAUAAACUUAAAUCUGUAAUUGCAAUUUUUCUUCACCGUGGCCUCCAUUGUUUGUCAUGUGUCUUGGCUACGUCAGGAUGGAAAGCAUUGCUUUUUUCUAUUUACAGGACCAGAAUUAAAUCCAUGUUUCUUGGCUGACCAUUUGGUUAGUUUUUGUUUGUUCAUUUGUUUUUUCAUGAAAUGUUCAUGGUGGUUGGGCUGGAAUAGGUAUAGCAUUUUAUUUAUUUAUACUCAGCUGAAACUAAGAGAAAUAUUUCAGACCAAGAAGUGGGGACAAGAGCAAUACUUGUGUAAUAAUACGAUGUACCAUUUUACAUUAUUUGGAAGUGCUGAUGCCUGCAUCUAUAGCAUCAGUCAAGAAAGAGAGGUAAUGAAAGAGAUUUCAAAUGAAUAUCAGAUAGGCUUUAGUAUUACAUAGGAUAAGACAGACAGGAUUGGUCAGGGUAUGCUGGAAAAGAUUUUUUAUCUUAUUUUAUUGGCUUUAUUUAAAUUUUUUUUUUUUUCCCAGCUGGAAAUCUAUUUAUUUAUUUUUCUUCAGUGUUACAAUGAAACAACAUUGCUUUAUUUAAAUUUUAUAAAAAUUCAAACCAUACAGUACUUUAUAAUAAAAUUGACUGCCUUUGGCUACUCUAUCUCUAUUUCCAGUGCAACUGUGGAAGUGGCACUGACAGAUAUGGUUUUAGCUACUUAGAAAUUUUUCUAGACACACACACACACACACACACACACACACACAAUUUAUAUGCAAAAUGCUCAUAUGCAUGUCAUAUUUUUUCUUUAUUCAGCAAGUUAUAGUGGAUAUUCUUUUAUAGCAUACGUAGCAAUGGACUUCUCUUUUUAAAGACUGCCUAGAAUUCUGUAGUUAUAAUACAGUCAUUCAUGUAACUAAUUCUCUAAAAACAAGCCAGAUGAUAUUUACUAAGAACUUACUAUGGGUCAGGCACAGCUCUAAUAGUCUAAUCUCAUCUAAUCUCAAUACGUUCAUGAGUUAGGAAUGGUUGUUAUUCCCAUAUGUUCCCAAUGAGGAAACUGAAGCAGAGAGUUUAAAUAAUGUGCCCUAAUUUACAGAAUUAUUAAACUGGUACUGGAAUUAUGCAAAGAUAAUCAGGCAUC